RNAcentral lists this ribosomal RNA (421 nucleotides) under uncultured Ethanoligenens sp. Its description in RNAcentral is "bacterial SSU rRNA". It matches the Rfam family "Bacterial small subunit ribosomal RNA", at positions 355 to 794 of the family's 1533-position model. The record is from RNAcentral. Lineage: Bacteria; Bacillati; Bacillota; Clostridia; Eubacteriales; Oscillospiraceae.
UGGGGGAUAUUGCACAAUGGAGGGAACUCUGAUGCAGCGAUGCCGCGUGAGGGAAGAAGGUUUUCGGAUUGUAAACCUCUGUGGAGGGGGACGAUAAUGACGGUACCCCUUUAGGAAGCCACGGCUAACUACGUGCCAGCAGCCGCGGUAAUACGUAGGUGGCGAGCGUUGUCCGGAAUUACUGGGUUUAAAGGGUGCGCAGGCGGCGUGCCAAGUCAGCGGUCAAAGUUCCGGGCUCAACCCGGUGAUGCCGUUGAAACUGGUGUGCUUGAGUGCGUGCGAGGGAGGCGGAAUGCGUUGUGUAGCGGUGAAAUGCAUAGAUAUGACGCAGAACUCCGAUUGCGAAGGCAGCUUUCCAGCACGCCACUGACGCUGAGGCACGAAAGCGUGGGGAUCGAACAGGAUUAGAUACCCUGGUAGU